This 253-nucleotide ribosomal RNA is filed under the name uncultured bacterium. RNAcentral describes it as "partial 16S ribosomal RNA". It matches the Rfam family "Bacterial small subunit ribosomal RNA", at positions 524 to 776 of the family's 1533-position model. The record is from RNAcentral.
CACGAACCGUACGAACGUUAUUCGGAAUUACUGGGCUUAAAGGGUUUGUAGGCGGCUUUGUAAGUCAGGUGUGAAAGCCCUCGGCUCAACCGAGGAACAGCGCUUGAUACUGCAAGGCUUGAGGGAGACAGGGGUAAGCGGAACUGAUGGUGGAGCGGUGAAAUGCGUUGAUAUCAUCAGGAACACCGGUGGCGAAAGCGGCUUACUGGGUCUCUCCUGACGCUGAGGAACGAAAGCUAGGGUAGCGAACGGG